RNAcentral lists this long non-coding RNA (370 nucleotides) under Gossypium barbadense (sea-island cotton). RNAcentral's name for it is "long non-coding RNA (GBAR_LNC018111)". Lineage: Eukaryota; Viridiplantae; Streptophyta; Magnoliopsida; Malvales; Malvaceae. The record is from RNAcentral.
CAGUCAUAACUUUUCGACGAUCUCGUUCCCUUCGAAUUGUUGCAUAGGCUGCCUCUGAGGUAGGUAAAGGUUCUGUUUUCAGCAAAUCUCUUUUAUCUGAAUCAAAUUCUUCUCCAAUUCCAGCAAGAAAUUGAUACAAUUUCUGGUUCGAUCUGAGUUUAUUAAACAUUGUGAUGUCAUCUGCACAAAUCAUAGGAUUAGGUUGUCUGACUUCUAUCUCCCGCCAUAGUCUCUGCAAUUUACUGUAAUAAACCUCCAAUGUAUCUGUGCCUUGUUUCAUUGUGUUUGCUCGAACCGUAAGAUCAAACAAUUGAACUCCUUCUCGUCCCUGACUGUAGGUUGUAGCCAGACCAUCCCAUAAAUCCUUGGC